GAUGAACGCUGGCGGCGUGCCUAAUACAUGCAAGUCGAGCGAACAGAUGAGGAGCUUGCUCCUCUGACGUUAGCGGCGGACGGGUGAGUAACACGUGGAUAACCUACCUAUAAGACUGGGAUAACUUCGGGAAACCGGAGCUAAUACCGGAUAAUAUAUUGAACCGCAUGGUUCAAUAGUGAAAGACGGUUUUGCUGUCACUUAUAGAUGGAUCCGCGCCGCAUUAGCUAGUUGGUAAGGUAACGGCUUACCAAGGCAACGAUGCGUAGCCGACCGGAGAGGGUGAUCGGCCACACUGGAACUGAGACACGGUCCAGACUCCUACGGGAGGCAGCAGUAGGGAAUGUUCCGCAAUGGGCGAAAGCAUGACGGAGCAACGCCGCGUGAGUGAUGAAGGUCUUCGGAUCGUAAAACUCUGUUAUUAGGGAAGAACAAAUGUGUAAGUAACUAUGCACGUCUUGACGGUACCUAAUCAGAAAGCCACGGCUAACUACGUG
RNAcentral lists this ribosomal RNA (497 nucleotides) under uncultured bacterium. RNAcentral's name for it is "partial 16S ribosomal RNA". It matches the Rfam family "Bacterial small subunit ribosomal RNA", at positions 28 to 507 of the family's 1533-position model. The record is from RNAcentral.